RNAcentral lists this ribosomal RNA (928 nucleotides) under Asianellus festivus. RNAcentral's name for it is "SSU rRNA". It matches the Rfam family "Eukaryotic small subunit ribosomal RNA", at positions 31 to 965 of the family's 1831-position model. Lineage: Eukaryota; Metazoa; Arthropoda; Arachnida; Araneae; Salticidae. The record is from RNAcentral.
UUCCACUGUUAGAUAGCCUGCAUGUCUAGUACUGCCGUAUUAAGGCGAAACCGCGAAUGGCUCAUUAAAUCAGUUAUGGUUCCUUGGAUCGUACUUAGUUACUUGGAUAACUGUGGUAAUUCUAGAGCUAAUACAUGCAGCAGAGCUCCGACCUUCGGGGACGAGCGCUUUUAUUAGACCAAAACCAAUCGGUCUCCGACCGUAACCUGUGGUGACUCUGAAUAACUUUGGGCUGAUCGCACGGGCCCGUCCCGGCGACGUAUCUUUCAAGUGUCUGCCUUAUCAACUUUCGAUGGUAGGUUACGCGCCUACCAUGGUCGUAACGGGUAACGGGGAAUCAGGGUUCGAUUCCGGAGAGGGAGCCUGAGAAACGGCUACCACAUCCAAGGAAGGCAGCAGGCGCGCAAAUUACCCACUCCCAGAACGGGGAGGUAGUGACGAAAAAUAACAAUACGGGACUCUUUUGAGACCCCGUAAUUGGAAUGAGUACACUCUAAAUCCUUUAACGAGGAUCCAUUGGAGGGCAAGUCUGGUGCCAGCCGCCGCGGUAACUCCAGCUCCAAUAGCGUAUAUUAAAGUUGUUGCGGUUAAAAAGCUCGUAGUUGGAUCUCAGUUCCAGACGGGUGGUCCGCCUACCGGUGGUUACUGCCUGUUCUGAACAGCCAGCCGGUUUCUCUUGAUGAUCUUCACCGGUUGUCUUGGGUGACCGGCAAGUUUACUUUUGAAAAAUUAGAGUGCUCAAAGCAGGCGCGACGCCUGAAUAAUGGUGCAUGGAAAUAUGGAAUAGGACCUCGGUUCUAUUUUGUUGGUUUUCGGAACACGAGGUAAUGAUUAAGAGGGACAGACGGGGGCAUUCGUAUUGCGACGCUAGAGGUGAAAAUCUUGGGACGUCGCAGGACGAACUCUGCGAGAAUUUUUUCCCAAGAAA